GCUGGGCGUGGUGGCGCAUGCCUGUAAUCCCAGCUACUUGGGAAGCUGAGGCAGAAGAAUUGCUUGAACCCAGGAGGUGGAGGUUGCAGUGAGCUGAGUUUGUACCAUGGUACUCCAGCCUGGGCAACACAGUGAGACUCUGUCUCAA
This is an unclassified non-coding RNA of Pongo abelii (Sumatran orangutan), 148 nucleotides long. It matches the Rfam family "Metazoan signal recognition particle RNA". From Rfam's summary of the family: The signal recognition particle (SRP) is a universally conserved ribonucleoprotein. It is involved in the co-translational targeting of proteins to membranes. Lineage: Eukaryota; Metazoa; Chordata; Mammalia; Primates; Hominidae. The record is from Ensembl.